GAUUUUGGGUUGCAGCCGAUCGGCUGGGCUAGACAGCUGCAGCCCAAAACGCUGUACCCAGUUGAACCGAUCAGCCCGUAUAUUCUACCAGCUGCUGAGCGAUGCGGGAAAGAACAAUGUGACCGCGCCGCUAUGGGGGUUGUGGCCUCACGCUUGGUGGCCUCGUGCGACGCCGGAGAGAGCUGUAUCGUGCUGGAGAAGGAACCUCCUCGUCGGAGAGAGCUGCUACCGUGCUGGAGAGGGAACCUCGUCGGUGCCCCUGCUUGUCAUUCUCUCCGCGCCGCUAAGCUCGUCUCUCCGAUCUGCGAUGGAGAGGGACGUCACGCCAGCACCGGUAGAGAGAAGGGCGAGGCCGCCGCGGGCUGUCACACCCCAAUUUGGCACCGCCGUACAACGGCACCUGACAGGAGCGUGUCAUAGGAAAAAACGG
Molecule: long non-coding RNA, 430 nt
Filed under: Oryza sativa Indica Group (long-grained rice)
Lineage: Eukaryota; Viridiplantae; Streptophyta; Magnoliopsida; Poales; Poaceae
Description: lncRNA OsMH63_04G019000
Source: RNAcentral